This 395-nucleotide ribosomal RNA is filed under the name uncultured bacterium. Its description in RNAcentral is "bacterial SSU rRNA". It matches the Rfam family "Bacterial small subunit ribosomal RNA", at positions 29 to 426 of the family's 1533-position model. The record is from RNAcentral.
AUUGAACGCUGGCGGCAUGCCUUACACAUGCAAGUCGAACGGCAGCACGGGAGCAAUCCUGGUGGCGAGUGGCGAACGGGUGAGUAAUAUAUCGGAACGUGCCCGGUCGUGGGGGAUAACGUAGCGAAAGCUACGCUAAUACCGCAUACGAUCUACGGAUGAAAGCGGGGGAUCGCAAGACCUCGCGCGAUUGGAGCGGCCGAUAUCAGAUUAGGUAGUUGGUGAGGUAAAGGCGUCACCAAGCCGACGAUCUGUAGCUGGUCUGAGAGGACGACCAGCCACACUGGGACUGAGACACGGCCCAGACUCCUACGGGAGGCAGCAGUGGGGAAUUUUGGACAAUGGGCGCAAGCCUGAUCCAGCAAUGCCGCGUGCAGGAUGAAGGCCUCGGUUGG